Tupaia belangeri chinensis (Chinese tree shrew) is the source of this 2393-nucleotide long non-coding RNA. RefSeq lists it as uncharacterized. The transcript has 3 exons. Lineage: Eukaryota; Metazoa; Chordata; Mammalia; Scandentia; Tupaiidae. The record is from RefSeq and is a predicted model, not a curated record.
GCUCUCGUGUCUCGCUCCGCGUCCCAAGCGACCCUCAAAGGCUCAUAGCCCAGACCUCCACCGGCCCAACUCGAUCUAGUCCAGGCCCAGAGAAAAUCACUUUGCUUCCCUACCAGCUCCUCCUUCUCCUAAGCGAAGGCGGAAGCGCCGGACGUUGUUUCUCUUCUUACUUCUCCACUGCCGUAGCCGUUGCCCCGAACGUAACGGCCACAACCCCACCCCGCACUCACACUCACUCACUCUCGCUCUCUCUCCCUCAGACACACAGACAUACACGCCCUCACUGAGAGUGCGCAGGCGCAGCUUCCGCUCGGCCCUCUGGGAAUUAGAGUCUUCCAGACUGUCUUCCGACCAUCGAGUACUAGUAGGUUUGGUCCACUCAGAACUACAAAUACCGUGAGGCCAAGCGUUUCAGCGCCCGCCAAAAAGAGGAAGAGGAAGGCUACGGGAACGGGAGCAAAGAGGAAGACGGUGACUUGCGUGGCCUGCCGGGAGUUGUAGUUUUCACUAGAUCUACUUUGUCGUCUUUCCCCACUCUGUGGCCCAAGCAAAAAAGCCUAAGAGACCACAGCUCCCAGGAUGCCUCGCGGUGCGACCCGCUCCACUUCCCCCUUAGACGGAGGGGAGGAUAUAGGGAAGAUUCGUGAAAACAGUUAAAGGGUCUGUCGAAGCCGAGGGUCUGAACUUGACGACUGCUAGAAGGGGAGGGCGUGGAAAGGCUCUCAGUGAAGAAGGACUUCUCAGAGCCUUUCUAUGCUAAUGUCAUUGGUGACUUUCCAGAGAACACCCAUGAUCGGUCCAGGAAGUCUGGGAAGAGGAAGCACUUAAGAGUGUCAAGAAUCUGAUUAAGGCAGAAGACACUAAGAUAUGUUCUCUAAUUAUGUUUACUUGUUAUUGUCUGUUUGUUUCUUUGGUUAGUUGGUUUUUUACUCCUUUCUUCCAUGACUGAGACCUGGACAGUACCCCCAAAAGGGUCUCUGCAGCAAUCCACUCCAGCCACCCCAAGAUCAUGGGUAUGCCUAUGCCCAGUGCACUUGGGGGUCUCUAGAGGCAAACCUAGAACCUUUCCACGUGAGUCAGCCUUGCAGAGCAUCGCAUUUACUGCUACACUAUCAUCCAACUUCCUAUAUUUGCUUGUUUUGCACAUUGUUUUGUGUGUAUUUUGUGGUGAUAUAGAGAUCCUGACAGAGAUAAUAGUGGUAUUAGUGCCCUGAGCCACCCAUUACACUAUUAUUGUUAUGUAGCAUUUCCACACUUCUUUGCUUACAAAACUAUUUUGAAGCUGUUAUCAGGGGCAUACACUUUAGGAAAAACCAAUACAGACAAAUAGUGCUUCUUGUUAUGGUUUCUGUUUUUAUCAGUGUGCUUGAAAAGGUUCUCUUCUUCCCCAAGAUCAGCUAAUGCUUGCCCAUAUUUUCUUGUAAUUUGUGUAUUUUUUUUCCACUUACUAUUUUAAUUCAGUUGAAAUGUAUUUUUAUAUGACAUGUAAGGGAGAGAUUCAACAUAUUUCGUUAUUAUUUUUUCAGUUGCCUGAGGUACAUUUGUUCACCAGAGCGAGAGAGAAAAAAAAAAGGGAGAAAGCACCCUCCAAUUGGACAUGGUCACACUGCAAUCCCUGUUCUAUUUCUUCAUCCUGUCUAGAUUUGGGACAUGCAGCCAGUCCUGGAUCCUGAGCAAGCACAUGCCAAGCACACACCGGAAGGUCCCUGGAUUUGAACUGGGAAGCUUCUCAUGUGGGACUGCCUCACUGCACUGUUUUAUUGUUAUACCAUUGUCCAGACCACUACAUUUUCAAAUAUAAUUCAAGUAAGUAGGUCAAGAAAAGGUCAAGAGUAGAAGCAGGGUCUCAGCUGGGGUAGCACGGGUUGGCUGAUGCUUGCUGCUUGGCAGGAUGAGAUCAUAUGGGACAUAUGGGAGGACAGUUCAGUUCCCUGCCCACCUUAAAAGCCAGGCCAUGAACCUGUAGCCCAGUUACUCUGGAGGCUGAAGCAAGAGAAUUGCAACACAGAGAGAUGCUAACUUUAAGAAAUGAAAGCAUGAAUAUGAGUGGGAUACAAUUUAGGGUAGACUUAGGAAUCUGAAGAUUUGUGUGAUCUCAGAGCAUGUUUCUGGCUUGAAAAGGACGUAAAUAAAAAUACUCCAGCAAAUAGAGUUAAACCAACUUCAUCUGUGAGAAAUCAUUUACACGGUUCAUAAUGAUCAUCAUGAAUUUCUCAGAGGUCUGGCAGGUUUAGAGUUAUAAUCAUAACUCCUUCCUCUUAUUAAAGUUUUAUGGGUGGGACUGGCAGGUGCCAUGGUGGUUAAGGGCAGUGGACUCCCACAUGGCUGACUGCUGUUUGAGUCCCAGACCUGGUGGCUUACUUUCUCACUUUCUCUCUCUCUCACUCAUUCUG